This 306-nucleotide unclassified non-coding RNA is filed under the name plant metagenome. Its description in RNAcentral is "partial contains 5.8S ribosomal RNA, internal transcribed spacer 2, and large subunit ribosomal RNA". The record is from RNAcentral.
AAAAUAUAAUAAAUAGUAUAAAUUAUAGAAUUUAGUAAAUUAUUAAAUUUUUAAACGCAUAUUACGCCUCUUAGUAUUUUAUAGGGUAUGCCUAUUUAAGCGUUAUUUAUAUUCUUAAGCUUUACUUAGUGUUAGGUGUCUAUCUUACCUUUGUGCGUAGACUUAUCCUAAAUAUAUUAAUAGUAGUCUUUACUUUUUUCUGUGUAGUAUAUUGCGCUUCUUAAGGCUAUGGCGGCCUACGUCUAAUAAGCUAAACCCCCUUGUCUUUAACCUUAGAUUGGGUAGGGAUACCUACUAAAUUUAAGC